UACGUAGGGACCAAGCGUUGUUCGGAUUUACUGGGCGUAAAGGGCGCGUAGGCGGCGCGGUAAGUCACUUGUGAAAUCUCUGAGCUUAACUCAGAACGGCCAAGUGAUACUGCAGUGCUAGAGUGUGGAAGGGGCAAUCGGAAUUCUUGGUGUAGCGGUGAAAUGCGUAGAUAUCAAGAGGAACACCUGAGGUGAAGACGGGUUGCUGGGCCAGCACUGACACUGAGGCACGAAAGCGUGGGGAGCAAACAGG
This 253-nucleotide ribosomal RNA is filed under the name uncultured bacterium. RNAcentral describes it as "partial 16S ribosomal RNA". It matches the Rfam family "Bacterial small subunit ribosomal RNA", at positions 524 to 776 of the family's 1533-position model. The record is from RNAcentral.